Molecule: ribosomal RNA, 762 nt
Filed under: Photobacterium angustum
Lineage: Bacteria; Pseudomonadati; Pseudomonadota; Gammaproteobacteria; Vibrionales; Vibrionaceae
Description: bacterial LSU rRNA
Rfam family: Bacterial large subunit ribosomal RNA
Source: RNAcentral
GGGGGAACUGAAACAUCUAAGUACCCCGAGGAAGAGAAAUCAACCGAGAUUCCGGUAGUAGCGGCGAGCGAAACCGGAUUAGCCCUUAAGCUAGUUUUGCGUUAGGUGAAAGUUCUGGAAAGUUCUGCGAUACAGGGUGAUAGCCCCGUAACCGACAACGCAUUAUCAGUGAAAACGAGUAGGACGGGACACGUGAUAUCCUGUUUGAAUAUGGGGGGACCAUCCUCCAAGGCUAAAUACUCCUGACUGACCGAUAGUGAACCAGUACCGUGAGGGAAAGGCGAAAAGAACCCCUGUGAGGGGAGUGAAAUAGAACCUGAAACCGUGUACGUACAAGCAGUAGGAGCCCACUUGUUGGGUGACUGCGUACCUUUUGUAUAAUGGGUCAGCGACUUAAUUUUAGUAGCAAGGUUAACCGUUUAGGGGAGCCGUAGGGAAACCGAGUCUUAACUGGGCGAAAUAGUUGCUAGGAUUAGACCCGAAACCGAGUGAUCUAGCCAUGGGCAGGUUGAAGGUGAGGUAACACUUACUGGAGGACCGAACCGACUAAUGUUGAAAAAUUAGCGGAUGACUUGUGGCUAGGGGUGAAAGGCCAAUCAAACUCGGAGAUAGCUGGUUCUCCCCGAAAGCUAUUUAGGUAGCGCCUCGGACGAAUACUACUGGGGGUAGAGCACUGUUAAGGCUAGGGGGUCAUCCCGACUUACCAACCUUUGCAAACUCCGAAUACCAGUAAGUACUAUCCGGGAGACACACGGCGGGUGC